AUGGAUCGAUGGUGUGUUGUUGCAGUGACAAAUGGAGAAGCUAGCCAGUUUUUCUCAGUGGAGUUUGAGCACAAUGAAAUUUUCUUGGGGGAAUGCAUAGGUGGAGAAUUGAAGUUCUCUUACAUUGGGUGCAGUCAUGAAGCUUUUGACUACUGUCAUUCAGACACAUGGUUACUGGGGAUGAUCAAGUAUUGCUUGUCAAGGAUGGACUAUGACCAUACAGACCCUCAAAUCAAGGUGUACUGGAUUUUUCCAGAUAAAGACUAUGGUGAUGGCCUGCUAUGUGUGGACAAUCCAGAUGUUAUAGCUGCUAUGGUGAGGUCCAGCAGAGAAGCCAAGACAUUGGAUUUGUUAGUUGAUGAGGAGAACAAGAUUCAGACAUUAUAUCCUGAAAUCAUACUAAAAGGAUGCCCAACUGCAGAUGGAAAUGAGGAUGAAGAACAAGGAGAGGAUGCAGAUCAAGAUGCAGAGAAUGCAGAGGAAGGAGAGGAUGCAGAGGCAGAUCAUGAUGCAGAGAAUGCAAUGGAAGGAGAGGAUGCAGAGGCAGAUCAUGAUGCAGAUGCAGACAAUGCAGAUAAUGCAGUUGAAAACAAUGAUGGAGAAGAAGAGUUGAAUGAAACUGACUCAGACUUUUAUGAGAGUGACUAUGAUUGUGAAGAUGGAGAUGAUGAUUUGUUUGCUCAGAAUGUGGACAAAUUAUUGGAUGACAACAAUGAAGAAGAGGAAGAGAUAUUUGAGGAGGAAGAUCCACUUGAUGAUGAUGAUCUCAACCUGUCAAAAGAUGAGUUGGAGAAGUUGAAAUAUACAUUCAGAACAUUCAAUGCAGAUAUGGACAUGAGCAACCCAAUCUUCAGGGUUGGGCAAGUAUUUGAAGAAAUGAAAGAGCUAAGGGAAGCAGUCACUGCAUACACAGUCAAAAACAGAGUGAAAAUCAUCAAAGCUAGAAAUGAGGCAGAGAGAUUCAUUGGUGUGUGUCAACCUGAUUGCCCUUGGAGGUUGAAAGCAUCUAGAGACAAUAGAACGGGAAGCAUUGUCAUCAGAGAGUACAAUGCAUAG
This 1056-nucleotide ribosomal RNA is filed under the name Triticum aestivum (bread wheat). RNAcentral's name for it is "partial small subunit ribosomal RNA". The record is from RNAcentral. Lineage: Eukaryota; Viridiplantae; Streptophyta; Magnoliopsida; Poales; Poaceae.